RNAcentral lists this ribosomal RNA (1594 nucleotides) under Jellisonia amadoi. RNAcentral describes it as "eukaryotic LSU rRNA". It matches the Rfam family "Eukaryotic large subunit ribosomal RNA", at positions 592 to 1870 of the family's 3401-position model. The record is from RNAcentral. Lineage: Eukaryota; Metazoa; Arthropoda; Insecta; Siphonaptera; Ceratophyllidae.
GAACGGGGAGAUUCAGUGUCGCGAUUGACCGGGAUCCGUCCCGCGAUACGCCUGGGCGGCGAGGGCGUGCACUUCUCCCCUAGUAGGACGUCGCGACCCGUUGGGUGUCGGUCUACGGCAUUAGCCUGUCGUGAAUUGGCAGACCCCGCGUGUCCCGGCCGACUGCCCGACGGUAUAGCGUUCGGCCGGUCGCAAGCGUGUGCGGUUCUUUUGGCUGUCGGACCUGGUCCGGCACCGAUCCCGCCGCGCUGUUGGCGACCGUGUCCUCGGACAGACUCUACAGGUCAGCGAUGCUAUUGCUUUGGGUACUUUCAGGACCCGUCUUGAAACACGGACCAAGGAGUCUAGCAUGUGCGCAAGUCAUUGGGAAUCACUAAACCUAAAGGCGUAAUGAAAGUGAAGGUUCGCUUAUGCGGACUGAGGGAUGAUGGUUCGGUGCAAACUCGCAAUCCCGGGGCGUCUUGAUCUCGUUGAGAUGAGGCGCACCAAGAGCGUACACGCUGGGACCCGAAAGAUGGUGAACUAUGCCUGGUCAGGUCGAAGUCAGGGGAAACCCUGGUGGAGGACCGUAGCGAUUCUGACGUGCAAAUCGAUCGUCGGAACUGGGUAUAGCGGCGAAAGACUAAUCGAACCAUCUAGUAGCUGGUUCCCUCCGAAGUUUCCCUCAGGAUAGCUGGCAUUCGAUGAGCGAGUCUCAUCCGGUAAAGCGAAUGAUUAGAGGCCUUGGGGCCGAAACGACCUCAACCUAUUCUCAAACUUUAAAUGGGUGAGAUCUCUGGCUUGCUUAAAUAGUGAAGCCAGAGCAGAGUGCCUAGUGGGCCACUUUUGGUAAGCAGAACUGGCGCUGUGGGAUGAACCAAACGCCGAGUUAAGGCGCCUAAACGACGCUAAUGGGAUACCAUGAAAGGCGUUGGUUGCUUAAGACAGCAGGACGGUGGCCAUGGAAGUUGGAAUCCGCUAAGGAGUGUGUAACAACUCACCUGCCGAAGCAACUAGCCCUGAAAAUGGAUGGCGCUGAAGCGUCGUGCCUAUACUCGGCCGCCAGGGCAUGAGGAGUGUAUCGCUUUGAAGCCCUGGUGAGUAGGAGGGUCGCGGUGGUGAGCGCAGAAGGGUCUGGGCGUGAGCCUGCCUGGAGCCGCCACCGGUGCAGAUCUUGGUGGUAGUAGCAAAUACUCCAGCGAGGCCCUGGAGGACUGACGUGGAGAAGGGUUUCGUGUGAACAGCCGUUGCACACGAGUCAGUCGAUCCUAAGCCCUAGGUGAAAAAAAUCUCACACCCAUCGGGCGAAAGGGAAUCCGGUUCCUAUUCCGGAACCCGGCAGCGGAACCGUUUACAAGUCGGGCCCUCGCAAGAGAGUUCGUCGGGGUAACCCAAAAUGACCUGGAGACGCCGUCGGGAGAUACGGGGAGAGUUUUCUUUUCUGUAUGAGCGUUCGAGUUCCCUGGAAUCCUCUAGCAGGGAGAUAGGGUUUGGAACGCGAAGAGCACCGCAGUUGCGGCGGUGUCCGUAUCUUCCCCUCGGACCUUGAAAAUCCAGGAGAGGGCCACGGGAGGUGUCGCGCCGGUUCGUACCCAUAUCCGCAGCAGGUCUCCAA